UACGUAGGGGGCUAGCGUUGUCCGGAAUCAUUGGGCGUAAAGAGCGUGUAGGCGGCCCGGUAAGUCCGCUGUGAAAGUCGGGGGCUCAACCCUCGAAUGCCGGUGGAUACUGUCGGGCUAGAGUGCGGAAGAGGCGAGUGGAAUUCCUGGUGUAGCGGUGAAAUGCGCAGAUAUCAGGAGGAACACCCAUGGCGAAGGCAGCUCUCUGGGACGGUACUGACGCUGAGACGCGAAAGCGUGGGGAGCGAACAGG
Molecule: ribosomal RNA, 253 nt
Filed under: uncultured bacterium
Lineage: Bacteria
Description: partial 16S ribosomal RNA
Rfam family: Bacterial small subunit ribosomal RNA
Source: RNAcentral